This 253-nucleotide ribosomal RNA is filed under the name uncultured bacterium. RNAcentral's name for it is "partial 16S ribosomal RNA". It matches the Rfam family "Bacterial small subunit ribosomal RNA", at positions 524 to 776 of the family's 1533-position model. The record is from RNAcentral.
UACAGAGGUCCCAAGCGUUGUUCGGAUUCACUGGGCGUAAAGGGUGCGUAGGUGGUGAAGUAAGUCGGAUGUGAAAUCUCGGAGCUCAACUCCGAAACUGCAUUGGAAACUACUUUGCUCGAGGGUUGGAGGGGGGACUGGAAUUCUCGGUGUAGCAGUGAAAUGCGUAGAUAUCGAGAGGAACACCAGUGGCGAAGGCGGCUCACUGGCCCGGUACUGACGCUGAGGUGCGAAAGCGUGGGGAGCAAACAGG